This 542-nucleotide ribosomal RNA is filed under the name uncultured bacterium. RNAcentral describes it as "bacterial SSU rRNA". It matches the Rfam family "Bacterial small subunit ribosomal RNA", at positions 356 to 896 of the family's 1533-position model. The record is from RNAcentral.
GGGGAAUAUUGCGCAAUGGAGGCAACUCUGACGCAGCCACGCCGCGUGGUGGAAGACACCCCUAUGGGGCGUAAACACCUUUUAUGUGGGAAGAAGGCUCUCCUCAGGAGGGUUUGACGGUACCACAUGAAUAAGCACCGGCUAACUCCGUGCCAGCAGCCGCGGUAAUACGGAGGGUGCAAGCGUUGUCCGGAAUCACUGGGUGUAAAGGGUGUGUAGGCGGACCUGUAAGUCAGAGGUGAAAGUCUGCGGCUUAACCGUAGAAUUGCCUUUGAUACUGUAGGUCUUGAGUCCCGGAGAGGUCGCUGGAAUUCGUGGUGUAGCGGUGAAAUGCGUAGAUAUCACGAGGAACACCAGAGGCGUAGGCGAGCAACUGGACGGGUACUGACGCUGAGGCACGAAAGCGUGGGGAGCAAACAGGAUUAGAUACCCUGGUAGUCCAUGCUGUAAACGAUGAACGCUCGAUGUUGCCUGCCUUUGUGCGGGCAGCGUCUAAGCUAACGCGUUAAGCGUUCCACCUGGGGAGUACGAUCGCAAGAUUG